RNAcentral lists this ribosomal RNA (286 nucleotides) under uncultured bacterium. RNAcentral describes it as "partial 16S ribosomal RNA". It matches the Rfam family "Bacterial small subunit ribosomal RNA", at positions 28 to 337 of the family's 1533-position model. The record is from RNAcentral.
GAUGAACGCUGGCGGCGUGCCUAACACAUGCAAGUCGAACGGGCUACUUAGGUAGCUAGUGGCAAACGGGUGCGUAACACGUAGGUGAUCUACCCACAAGCUGGGGACAACGGAUGGAAACGUCCGCUAAUACCCGAUGGUGUCGCGAGACGAAAGGCGUAAGCCACUUGUGGAGGAGCCUGCGGCCUAUCAGGUAGUUGGUGGGGUAACGGCCUACCAAGCCGACGACGGGUAGGGGGUGUGAGAGCAUGAUCAGCCACACUGGAACUGAGACACGGUCCAGACU